Molecule: ribosomal RNA, 253 nt
Filed under: uncultured bacterium
Lineage: Bacteria
Description: partial 16S ribosomal RNA
Rfam family: Bacterial small subunit ribosomal RNA
Source: RNAcentral
UACGUAGGGGGCAAGCGUUGUCCGGAAUCACUGGGCUUAAAGCGUGUGUAGGCGGCGGCCUAAGUACCUUGUGAAAUCCCACGGCUCACCCGUGGAACUGCUCGGUAUACUGGGUCGCUUGAGCCACUUAGGGGCUACCGGAACAAAUGGUGGAGCGGUGAAAUGCGUAGAUAUCAUUUGGAACGCCAAUGGUGAAAACAGGUAGCUGGGAGUGUGCUGACGCUGAGACACGAAAGCCAGGGGAGCAAACGGG